AAAUUGUUAAAUAUUUCAGAAAAACUUUCUGAAAUAUAAUUUCUCCAUACAAUGAAACAGUUUUUUUCAUGUAUCUAUAAAUAGAUACAGGAGCCUCUAGUUAUCUAAUGAGGGUUAUAUAUGGUGCAUAAUUUUAAUACCAUAUUUGUUUCAUCUUACUUCAAAUUUGAAAGUACUUUUGCUCUAAGUUUCCUAAAAGUAUUUAAUACUUUUUUUUUCAAUUUAGAUUAAAUCUCUUGAUGAACAGUGUGUGGUUGGCAAAAUUUCCAAGCACUGGACUGGACUUUUGAGAGAGGCAUUUACAGAUGCUGAUAACUUUGGAAUCCAGUUCCCUUUAGACCUUGAUGUUAAAAUGAAAGCUGUAAUGAUUGUGGGCAUAUGUGGAAAAAAUUUAGUGAAACAAGGAAACUUUACCAUGACUCAUAGUAAUUAAAUUAAACCAUCUAAUAUAGGAGUAUGAGGUACAAUAAGAGUGUACAUUCACUCAAGUGUGUAGACCUAACUACCAAAUUACAGGAAAUAAUUGGAUAUACCAGUGAUUCUGAAAUUGCCUUCACAUUAGAACCACCUAGGGACCUUUAAAUACCCCAAGGACUAGUCCAUACCUCAGUUCAACUAAAUCAGAAACU
RNAcentral lists this small RNA (629 nucleotides) under Pongo abelii (Sumatran orangutan). Its description in RNAcentral is "processed transcript". The record is from RNAcentral. Lineage: Eukaryota; Metazoa; Chordata; Mammalia; Primates; Hominidae.